AUACUAAAAACAUAUGAAACUAUCAUGUAUUGGUGAACAUUUUUCAAUAGUAAGAUAAACAUCUAUCCUAUACUAAAAGGAAGAUAUCAUGAGUCCUAAAGCUAUCCACGUAGGAUUAAAUAAUCCACCAAUCAGCACAUUUCAUUUAUUUACAUCAGACAUGUUGGGCUUUCGGUUUGGGCUUCGUUUGUUUUUUGCCAAAUUACACACCAAAAUGAGUGGGCCUGAGCUUGGGGUUCAUUUGCUGUUUGCCCUAAACUUAACAACGCAUGGUUCUUCUUCUGAGAAGACGAGAUAUGGUUGAGACUAGACGUAAGUUACGUCACGUAACUCUUCAGCUUCCAAGAGUUUCCCUGCUUCUUCUUCAUCCCCUGAAUUGUCUUCUCAUCUCCACUCCCUACCAAGCGAUCUAAGGUCAAGAUCCAUGCUGCUAUUAAAUCUGUAUGUUAGAUCCGAGUUUCGUUGCGGUCCGAGCCAUGUCAGAGUCUCAGACAGCUCUAAAGAAUCAGCCACAGUCAUGGGUCUCCUCUGGUUUGUUUUUUUGUGUUAACCUGCAAGUUCAUAUUCAGAGACUGAUUUCAAUUAUAUUCUGUUUGCAAUAAGGUUUUUAAUAUAACAUGGGCGUGUGUACAUCAGGAAAGAAGCAAGCUUUGAUAUCUUUAUCUGAUAAGAAGGAUUUAGCUACUUUUGGCAAAGGUCUUCAAGAGUUAGGGUAUGUCUUAUUUCAUAAUUUUUAGUUAUGUUUCUGUCCUAAUAAGUGUGUAUGGAUUGAAAAAUGAUUCCUUUUGUCCAUCUUUAGAUACACUAUGGAGGAACUGCCUCUACCUUGGAGAAUGUUGUAGUCUCUGUCACCAAAGUGGAGACGCUUACUCAUUUUUCUGAAAUUGAAAGUUUCAUUCUUUAGCUGGUGGUAAUGAUUAAGCAGUUGAGUUUGGUAUAUUAAGCUUACCUCUCAUUUUGUUUUUGUUUUUUCUUCUCGAAAAAGCAGCUUGAUGGCCGUGUGAAGACUUUGCACCCAAACAUACACGGUGGUAUCCUUGCUAGAAGAGAUGUGGAGCAUCAUAUGGAAGCUCUUAAUGAGCAUGGCAUUGGUGAGUUUGGACAUUUGAUUAGCCUUUUAUUUUCUAAGGUUGAGACAAGUUAUCUGUAGUAUUCAGGUGGGAUCAGUUUUUAGGAUGGGAUUGAGAACAUCGACAUUGGUGGUCCUACUAUGAUUAGAGCAGCUGCUAAGAACCACAAAGAUGUCCUCAUCGUUGUCGAUUCAGAGGAUUAUUAAGCUGUUUUGGAGUAUCUCAAAAGAGGUCAGAACGACCAACAAUUCCGCAGGAAACUUGCGUGGAAGGCCUUUCAGCACAUUGCUGCUUACGAUUCCGCUGUCUCAGAAUGGCUAUGGAAGCAGACUGAGGGAAGUACGUGCUUAUUUUUUAUGUGAUCCUCCUUACACUAGAUCGAGAUGCAGUGGCGGAUCUAGAAAAUAUUAUGAGAGGGGGCGAAUAAAUUAAUUAAUUAAUAUAUUUAUAUUUAAUAGUAUUGUAUAAAUAUUUUUAUUUAUAUAUUAUAUAUAUCUAUAUUUAAAAAAAUUUGCAAUGGCUAGAAUAAUUGUUUUGAAAAGGACUAUAAGAUGAAUUCACAAACAAAAAAAAAUGAAAUAAAAAAUAGUAGAAUAAAUUGUUAAGGAAACAGAAUAACUAAAGGAAAUAUAACGUAACUAUGUGAGGAACAAAAUGGUAUGACAGGUAAACAAGAAAGAAAUAAAAUCAGAAAAGGAAAGUGAUCAUCCUACUAUAUAAAAGGAGCUAAUUUGAAAGUUCCUAAGCUAUGCCACAUAAGCAUAAAUAUUCUCAUCCAACCAAACUUACAAGUCAGCUACUCUUUUACUUUUUAGUGUAUUAUAAUUCUCAACCAAAUAUUAAGAGCAAAGCCACUUCCUGCCAUUCUGAAUUUCCGUCAUAACGUUCCUCCACCAUUAAACCCCUAAAUUGCUAUAAAUUUCCUAUGGAAACCUACCUUUUCAAAUAUUCUCCCUCUCUUUGUCUCCUCCACAUUAAGCUAAUUAAUGGGAAACAUCUCAACAACGUCAGAAUAUUAAGAACAUGGACGGAUCAACUCUUCAGCGAGAUUUGAUUCACCUAUAACUUAGAGAUCAGACACUUACGGUUACAUGGUACAAUCCAUUACGCGUUCUCUUAUGCUAUUAGUUGAUUGAUCUAUAUUUGUUAAUGGUAUGGUUUUAUUUUGGUACAGUUGCGUGUGGUUUUGAUUGCAUGAUUGUUUGAUUAGAAAAUGAUUGUAUAAGAGCGACAAUAGUGUGACAUCUGCAAGACACAUUGUUAAAGGCAGCAGUAACAAUCAGGUUCCCUCUGGUAUUACAAACUUUCCCAGCUGUCUACCUUUCUUAAUAUUUUAAUACUUCUAAAAUAAUAUUUUCUUUUGUCCAAAUAAAGAAAGUAAUAUUUUCUCUA
Long non-coding RNA from Brassica napus (rape), 2462 nucleotides. RefSeq lists it as uncharacterized. The record is from RefSeq and is a predicted model, not a curated record. NCBI's taxonomy places the organism in Eukaryota, Viridiplantae, Streptophyta, Magnoliopsida, Brassicales, Brassicaceae. The transcript is spliced from 2 exons.